Molecule: ribosomal RNA, 253 nt
Filed under: uncultured bacterium
Lineage: Bacteria
Description: partial 16S ribosomal RNA
Rfam family: Bacterial small subunit ribosomal RNA
Source: RNAcentral
UACGUAGGGUGCGAGCGUUAAUCGGAAUUACUGGGCGUAAAGCGUGCGCAGGCGGUUAUAUAAGACAGAUGUGAAAUCCCCGGGCUCAACCUGGGAACUGCAUCCAAAACUGCUGAGCUAGAGUACGGUAGAGGGUGGUGGAAUUUCCUGUGUAGCGGUGAAAUGCGUAGAUAUGCGGAGGAACACCAAUGGCGAAGGCAAUCCCCUGGGCCUGUACUGACGCUCAUGCACGAAAGCGUGGGGAGCAAACAGG